Plodia interpunctella (Indianmeal moth) is the source of this 442-nucleotide long non-coding RNA. RefSeq lists it as uncharacterized. The record is from RefSeq and is a predicted model, not a curated record. The transcript is spliced from 3 exons. NCBI's taxonomy places the organism in Eukaryota, Metazoa, Arthropoda, Insecta, Lepidoptera, Pyralidae.
GGUUCGAAGAACUGAUCUAAUUGAGCACCGGGUGUGUGAUAAGUGCCACCGUACCUAUUCCCUGAUGAGUCCUGGUAAGCGAAACUGGAUACUCCUACUGGCGUUCCUGUAAAGGAGAUGAGAAAAUUGAUGAAAAUAGCCUGAGAUGCAAUGGUAUUAGGUGCUAGACGGACAGUUAGAUGAACAAGUUUUUCUUGCGACAGGAGUUGUGUAUGAAAAAGUGGCUAGAGACUUGCCACUUUUUGGAUAUGGAACCCAGAUUGAUGUUUCAAAAGUGGACGUAAACAAAAUUUUUAAUUGAGUGGUUGGAAGAAAAGGAAAGAAUUGUCGAAUGAAAUGACUACCGCUGACACAUAAUGGAGAUUUCCCAUUACAAACGACAUGGUAAACAUUACUUUGUGGAUUUUAGUAUCGACAACAGAAUUUCAAAAAUGUUUGCUAA